CACAAAUCUUAUAGCCCAUGCAUUAUACUUCAGCUUUGAUGUAUGUUGUUCUAUUUGCUUACAAUACAAUUAACUUUAAUAUUUUUAAAACAGUUCAAUUUUGUUUCAGAAAUAAUUUUGUAUCAUAUUAUAGAUAAUGGGUGGUAAAAAAGAAGCAUCUAAAAAUAGAGUAUAUGAAAAAGAACGCAGAGAUCGUUUGAACGUAAGUUUUGAAGAAUUGCGUACUGUUCUUCCACCAUCAGACUCUAAUGCUUCACUUGGUAAAGCUGAUGUUAUAAAUCAUGCAGUUGACUUUAUCCGUAUUCUACAAAAUGAAAAAUUGAAAAUGACAAAUAUUCAUAGAAAAGAAUUAAUACGUUUACAAAAUAAAAUAUCUCAUCUAUGUACAAGAAUCAAACACUUAAUAUCUGUUUUGAAGGAAUCAAAAAUUGGAAUACCAAAAGAAAAAAUGAUUAAAAAGACAUGUUUGAAAAUUGGAUCAAAGUCAAAACGAAAAAAAGAAUCCAAUGUUCAAAAUAACAAUGUAAAAAAAUUAAAAAAGAAAUCAAAAUUAGCACCAAAAACAAGGCCUAUUUCUUUAACGACCAAACCUGAGAAUAUAACAGUUUUAACAUCAACUAAACCUACAUUUAUUUUACCUAGUGGUCAUUUAAUAAAAAUUGAUACUUCACCAAUUAUACCUCAACCACAAAUAAUAUUUGAUAUACCUAAAAUACUUUUGUUACCUGAUUAUAAAAGUUCAGAAGUAUUAAUUGCCCCCAAAAAAAAUGAUGCAACUGUUACUACAUCGGUUAACAAAAGACCUAUACCAUCACUAGCAACAUAUAAUAGACUUUUAAAAGAAACUAAUUUUUUGAAAGAUAAAGUUGAAAUAGCAAAUGAUACAAAACUUAAAAGAAAAUCUGAAAAUAAAAAUGAAUCAAAUAAAGCACAAAUAGUUGAAAAAAGCAUCAAUGAAAAAGAAAUAGAAGAAAAUAAAAAACAUAAUUGCACGGAACCAGUUAAGUUAAAUGAUAAUAAAAAUACUACAAGUCACACAAUUGAAGCUAUCGUUAAGAACAUUAAUCAAGAUAAAAAUGAAAAAUCUAUUGAUAGAGAAGAAAAUAUCACAAGUGAAAUAAUUUGUGAUGAUUCUAAAAAUGAAUUAAAAUCAGCUGAAACCGAAAAUGUUAGGAAUAAUGAUAAAAUAACAAUUGAUGUUCCAGCAUGUUUAUCUGUUACUCAGACUACAUCAACUGUUGUUAAUUCAUUAACUAUAUUAACAGAAGAAAGUCAAAGAAAAUCAAUGGAAACAGCAAAAAAUAUUAUGUCUUGUUUUGAUGAUAUACGGUUACCUAUACCAAAUACAGAUUUUUCUACUGAUCUGUUUAGUUCUCUUCAAGGACCAGUUGGAGGACAUCAUGCUGAUUCUAUGUCUCCCACUGAAGCUUUUCUUCUUUCCUUUCCACUUGUUUCAACUUCAAAAAACACUAAUAUCCUUAAUGAAACUGAACAAACUGAAUUGCAUUCAGCUACACCAACAACAAUAUUGCAAAUAGGAAACUUGGAAUCUCCAGCUACAGAAUUGUUCCAGAAAAAUAUAAAUGAUUGUGAAAAAGAUCAAAAUAAAGAUAAGAUGAAAGAUCAAUUUGGUUAUAAUGAUAAACCAUAUUAUAAUGAUGGUUACGUAGAUAUCAGUAAAAAGAAUGAUCAAAUGUAUGGUUAUAAAGAGAUUAAAAAAAUUAAGGCUAUACCUCCACCACAACCAACUGCGUCUACUUUUUAUAAAACCACUUAUAAUGAUAUUUCUUCUUAUUAUAAAACAACACAAUCAAAUUCUGAUCUUUGGAGAUAUACUAGUUAUAAUUCGUUUGAUAAAAACCUUAAUAAAAAUAUAAAAAAGACCGAUAAAUCUACUUCUACGGUAUCUGCAAAUAAUGUUCCAUAUGUACCAUAUGAUUUAAAUACAGGUAAUGCAACUACAUACAUUGAUUCUGAAAAUUACCAUGAAGUUUGGCCACAUAAGCCAAAACAAAAAAAGAAACAAAAUGAAAAAAGUGUUCCAGUUAACUGGAUGACAGAUAAAAGCUGUCAAAAUUCUUUUGCAAAAAAAGAUGAUUAUAGUUACCAAAAGAAAAACAAUUUUGAUAUGUCUUUUGAUUUACAGUCGGAACCUAAACAAACAUAUUCAUGGUCGCCAUCCAAAAAUAUACCUUUAUUACCUCAUUUAGAUACUAAUAUGCCUUCAACAUUACCAACUCUUGUGGGAGAUUUAGCUUUGAAUAUUCAUACUGGUUCUAAUACUCCAUUUGAUCAAAGAGUAUAUGAAUGUAACAAAAAAAGUGAUAAUAUAAUUCCUGUUACAAGUAGUGAACAAAACAUGUUCAAUUAUAAAUCUCGUACAGUCAAUUCAAAUUUUCUUUCAGUUAGUCAAUUAGUAGAACAACCAAAAUCUAAUGACAAACGAAAAGGAAAAAAUUGUGCCAAGGAUUAUUGUUGUGUGUAUCAAAAUCAGAAAACAGACAAGGAUUAUUAUCAAAAUCAAACUAAACAAUAUUAUCCUGAGAUAAAUACAUUUGAACAAGAUCAAUCUUGGGUACGAUCAAAAUAUUCACAUGACUCUAGCAGAUCCACUAAUCAUAGUGCUGAAUCAUUAAUUAGGCAUCAACAAAAAAAUGGUUCUAUUAUAAAAUCUAGUUCAAAAAAUCAAAAUAUAAUAAAUAAACAAACUACUUGUUAUAGAACAGGUCAAAAAUCAAGUUAUAAUAACAAUGAAAAUUUUGGAAACUACUAUAAUCAACAUAAUAGUAAUUAUUUAUAUGAUAAUAGAAAUGAAGUAGAUAGACAACCAUCUGGGUAUCAAAUACCAACACAUUUUUAUAAUCCUGUAACAACGACGAAGCAUAAUAUUGCAAAUUACAUUCCUUUGCCAACCACGUUUAGUAUGACAGGUUCCAGUUAUAAUAAACCAGUUCAACAUUUUACUCAAAACACAAACAAUUAUUAUAAUAGUAGCAGUAAUGUGAACACUUUAACCAACUUUAAUCUGAGUACUAUAUUUCCAGAAAUGAUUGAUAAGGAACCAAAUAUUACACCAUUAGAUGUGCCUAGUAAAAACAGUGAAUUUGAUGUUAUGAAUAAUUAUGGAACAAAUUUGCAUUCAUCAUAUUAAGUAUAAAUCAAUUAAGUUCCCUUGAUAUUAUCUUAUGUAAGUGAAUUUAAUGCUGGAUUGAAUUAGUUCAACAUUUUCAAAAUGUUCAAAAUUUCAAUUCGUAUUAAAUUGUUUUAUGUUAAGGAGAAAAAACUUUUGAAAUUUACAUAUAAAUCAACAUACAUCCAAUUUCAAUGAAUACUGUGUCAUAAAAAAUAUGCAUAGUAUAAUAACUAAUAAUUAAGCGAUGGUUUAAUUAUAAAUUCCAGUAUUAUUUAUGAAU
Molecule: RNA transcript, 3413 nt
Organism: Sipha flava (yellow sugarcane aphid)
Lineage: Eukaryota; Metazoa; Arthropoda; Insecta; Hemiptera; Aphididae
Gene name: GATA zinc finger domain-containing protein 14-like
Exons: 7
Source: RefSeq, a predicted model, not a curated record